CAAUUGUUUAUUAUCUCUGAUUACUUUGAUAUAUUCCUAAAUAGGGAGAAGAAAAACAGAAAUGGUAUUCAGUUUACAUUUUGAAAGGAGGAGGAACUGUAACCAUGUACUGUAUACCUCAUUCAGCUUUCCUUGUCGUUUGGCUUCGUGGUGUUGCUUACUUAAAAUACUGCAUGUGGACAUUGCCAGAGUAAACAAGCCGAGGAAGAGCAGACCCUGUGUUGGAAUGUAACAGCUAUGGAGAAGCUGGAGGGAGGCCAGGGAGGAGAGUGCUGUGAAAACUUAGCCCGCACCAAGAGCUGAUCAUGGUGAGUUCCUUGUUAAUUCUUCAAAACAAUGAUUUGAGGCUGAUACUGAACUGUACUCUUAUGACCUUCCUCUUCCUCCCCACCCGCA
This 396-nucleotide long non-coding RNA is filed under the name Fukomys damarensis (Damara mole-rat). RNAcentral describes it as "lncRNA (ENSFDAG00000029665.1)". Lineage: Eukaryota; Metazoa; Chordata; Mammalia; Rodentia; Bathyergidae. The record is from RNAcentral.